AGCAGUGUGGCUCAGUGGAAAGAGCGCAGGCUUGGGAGUCAGAGGUCACGGGUUCUAAUCCUGGCUCUGCUG
Molecule: non-coding RNA, 72 nt
Organism: Ornithorhynchus anatinus (platypus)
Lineage: Eukaryota; Metazoa; Chordata; Mammalia; Monotremata; Ornithorhynchidae
Source: Rfam